ACAGCUUUGGAAUUUCGCACCCGACCCGGCGCUGCAUGUGACCGCAACGCAGUGCCGGGUGGCAGCUGCGUACCGGAAGAGAGACACGCCCGCAGCUCCGGGGUAUAUCAGGGCUCCGCCGUUGGUCCGUUCCACAGUUGGGCUGGCCUCACACUCAGUCUGCGUUGCAGGUUGCAUAGGUUCCACCAUGAUCAAGCUCACAGCUGCUCUCAUUGCUGUUCUUUUGGGUUCUGUUUUGAUGUUAGCGGUAGAGGCUGGUCGAGGCUGCGGAAGAGGUCGAGGACACGCCUUCGGCUGCCACGGGGGAGGAGAAAAAAGCAGCGAGGAGAGCGACAGUGAGGAGAGCACAACUAGCGUGGACAACUGUACCUGGAACGACGCCAAAGACUGUAAUGGAACCUGUGUGUGUCCAGAAGGCUUCACCCUCUGUGGUGGCAUUUGCUGGUGGUACAGCAACUCUACGACUGCAAACUUCACCGAAGCAGUCAGCCUGUGCUCUAGCCUAGGGGCCGAUGUGGCGCUUCCAAGCAGCGAGGAAGAAAACCAGUGUGCAGCCUGUAUGGUUCCAGAUACAUCCAGUCGCGUCUGGCUGAACCUACGCGGAAACUCGACUAUUGAUUCGUUCGUGAAUCCGGCUGGGGCCGCACCCGCCUACGCCAACUGGGCUAGCUACCACACUUACUAUGAGCUGUGUGACAAUUGCGAUGAUAGUUGUGCGUACCUCUGGCCGAGCGAUGGUCAAUGGUUUGCUGGCUAUUGUGAUGUGACAAGUCAAAUCCUUUGCCAGCGACCCUUGCAGUAAUGUUUAAGCACGAACUCGCAGUGAUGCAAAAUGCAUAUGCAGAGGUCGAAAUUUCUAUGCAGGUGGAGACCCAAUCCACAAUGAGUUCAUUACGUUGCACAUAUUGUUGUUAAAUCCUUGAAUUAUAUGCACUUCGAAAGUUCAGUUGUAGGAUAAGGAUUCUAGCCUUACCUUGGUGCUGUGCUGUUUUUUUCAACCUUGUGUGCAACAUGCUGUGCAGUGCGCGGUGCGGUAUGGAGCUGUGCAACAUGCAACAUGUUCAUGCAACACGAUUUUCUUAGAUUCUUAUUUCUUAUUUUUCACAUCUACAAAUCGAUAUAAAAAUAAAUCAAAUCUUACAACUCCGUUUGUUACAACGCUGACACUUAUGUUGCUAACCUAAGCAACAAUGGGUUCUGGCCUGCCCGUUCUGUGGGAUUGCACUCACAACCAUGUAACAAGAUGGUGAGAUAAGUCCUAAGAAUGCAAUGUUAAAUCAUUUCCAGAUUUUUUAACCGCAAGUCUGGCUACCGAAUUACAUGACACUGAUGAAAUUAAGCUCCUGUGGCUUCUGAGCCCCACAGGAAUGUUAGUACGCAGAAAUACGGGCU
Amphibalanus amphitrite is the source of this 1392-nucleotide long non-coding RNA. RefSeq lists it as uncharacterized. The record is from RefSeq and is a predicted model, not a curated record. NCBI's taxonomy places the organism in Eukaryota, Metazoa, Arthropoda, Thecostraca, Balanomorpha, Balanidae. The transcript has 3 exons.